RNAcentral lists this ribosomal RNA (253 nucleotides) under uncultured bacterium. Its description in RNAcentral is "partial 16S ribosomal RNA". It matches the Rfam family "Bacterial small subunit ribosomal RNA", at positions 524 to 776 of the family's 1533-position model. The record is from RNAcentral.
UACGUAGGGUGCGAGCGUUGUUCGGAAUUACUGGGCGUAAAGGGCUCGUAGGUGGCCAACUAAGUCGGACGUGAAAUCCCUCGGCUUAACCUGGGAACUGCAUUCGAGACUGCAUUGCUAGAGUAUGGGAGAGGGAAGUGGAAUUUCCGGUGUAGCGGUGAAAUGCGUAGAUAUCGGAAGGAACAUCAGUGGCGAAAGCGACUUCCUGGACCAAUACUGACGCUCAUGUGCGAAAGCGUGGGGAGCAAACAGG